Molecule: ribosomal RNA, 499 nt
Filed under: uncultured Glomeromycotina
Lineage: Eukaryota; Fungi; Glomeromycota
Description: partial small subunit ribosomal RNA
Rfam family: Eukaryotic small subunit ribosomal RNA
Source: RNAcentral
CCAAUAGCGUAUAUUAAAGUUGUUGCAGUUAAAAAGCUCGUAGUUGAAUUUCGGGAUCAAGGAAUCGGUCAUGCCUUGGUAUGUACUGGUUUUAUUGGUUCUCACCUUCUAAAGAACUAUAAUGUCAUUUAUUUGAUGUUAUGGGGAAUUAGGACUGUUACCUUGAAAAAUUUAGAGUGUUUAAAGCAGGCUUUAGCUUGAAUACAUUAGCAUGGAAUAAUGAAAUAGGACGUUCGAACCUAUUUUGUUGGUUUCUAGGAUCAACGUAAUGAUUAAUAGGGAUAGUUGGGGGCAUUAGUAUUCAAUUGUCAGAGGUGAAAUUCUUGGACUUAUUGAAGACUAACUACUGCGAAAGCAUUUGCCAAGGAUGUUUUCAUUAAUCAAGAACGAAAGUUAGGGGAUCGAAGACGAUCAGAUACCGUCGUAGUCUUAACCAUAAACUAUGCCGACUAGGGAUCGGAUGAUGUUAAUUUUUUAAUGACUCAUUCGGCGCCUUACG